Sphaeramia orbicularis (orbiculate cardinalfish) is the source of this 1200-nucleotide long non-coding RNA. RefSeq lists it as uncharacterized. The record is from RefSeq and is a predicted model, not a curated record. NCBI's taxonomy places the organism in Eukaryota, Metazoa, Chordata, Actinopteri, Kurtiformes, Apogonidae. The transcript has 3 exons.
UUCAUAUAAAAAGACACUAUGAAAACAUUAGAGGACUACUUUGUACAAUCUUAUGUAUAAAAAGAACAGAAAUGAGGGAGAAAAGGAAAAGGGAGGACUCAGUUAUAAAUCAACUGGAAUGUCGGGUGGUUAUAGCAGUUGGUUAACACCUAAGCAUCGAAGGCCGAGGGGUGAAGGUGAAGGUGAGCACAGGUUUGGAUUGGCAUCCACCACAGAAGGAGCAGAACUACCUGCUUCUGAUGUACGGGUCAUUAUGCGCAUUUAAUCAGGCUUUCAGCACACACAAAGAAAAAGAUGACAAACAACAGCUGACCUGCAUCCUCUCCUCUGUCAAACAGGCUAUCAUAGGAAAGAUUGUAAGCUUUGCAAGAUGACCCUCAUUGAACCCAAACAAAAUGUGGUGACACUGAAGUCAUACUAGGGCUACUUCACACCUGACCUUCCAGACCUGGGUUUUUGUUACUUUGUGUGUUUCAUCCAGUUGCAUUUGGCUUCACACAUUAAAUACAUUUACAUGCUGUACCUGCUUUAUGUUGUUCAGAUUGUAGAGGUAUGCAUUUCAUCUUCAGUUCUGCAGGUAACCUUUACUGUUUGAGAACUUAUUUUGCCAAAUUAUCCACACAGAUAAUAUAAGUUGAUUUUUCUUUUAUUUUUUUGUUGGCCCUUAUUUCUACCAUAAACUCCAUCUCCAACUCACAGAGAACCAAAUGGCACCACUGACCCUCGUCAACAAUUCUCCAAGUAGCUACUCAUGGCACUACGUGAGCUAAAAAAAAUUUCCCAAAUGAUAAAAAGAGAUGUCUGUAAAACUGACAGGAUAACUAUAACUCCAGAAACAGGUUGGGUAUUAUUCUGUUUACCAUGUUUUGAAUAUGAAAUUCUUGGCUGCUGCUGUGGGCUGCUUAACAUGCAAUUAACCCUGAGGCCAGAAACAGCUUUGGUGCAUGUGCCAGUGAAAAACAUGCCAUUGUGGAGUCCGACAUCCAGUCUUUUACAGUGCAAUACUUUUUUUUUCUUUCUUAAUAGCUGACAAUAGCUGAACAUAACCUCCUAGAAUUCUUCUGUGUCUGAACAAUCCAGGUCAAGUGUUUUCACACUCGAAACAAUCUGAGCCAUGGUUCGCUUUUUGAGCCAAGAUCAUCCAUUUUUACCCCGUCCCCAAAGGGCAGGCAAGGGGUAUCGUUUUUGGUUCCGUUUGUU